AUUAAUUCUUGUUUUUUUAUACGUUAAAAAAGUUUUAAUUCCCUUUAGUCCGUUUGUUUCCCCCAGAUAAUCAGAUCGAUUGUAAAUGACGGCUAUUCCUGUUUGUUCGCCAGUAUUAAUUCACUAAAAGAUUAGCUGCAAAAAAUGUUUAGACAAGUAUUACUUAAAGUUAAUAAAAAUGUUAGAAAAGCCGCACGGACCAUUUAUCGGAUCGGACCAGUGAAAGAAGCUGCUCGAGCUGAGCUCACACACAUCAGUCAUGCGACAGACAGCAGACUCCGUGAGAAUCGUUUGAAUGAACCUGCAAUUUUCUGUUAUAAAAGUUCAAAACCCAGACGAAAGAAAAGCGCGCAGUCGUGAGGUAAUCCGCUCUUUCAGAGAAAAUUUAUACCAGUGCCCCUAAUUUACAUAACGUUAACGUUACUCCUACAACAAACCUUUAAGAGGGGAGCGUAAAACAGAAGCCAUAUUCGUCUUAGCGCACCAGCACUAAUUAAUUGUACUGUAAAAGUGUUUUAAUGAUUUAUUCAUAUUGAAUAUUGUUAUGCAUCUAUUGGAAUACCCUAUAAUUACAGCAGUUUCUCUUAUGAAGCUAGAUUGAUUGACAUGUUUUUUAAAUGUAUUGUACUAAAUGUGUUUAUACUUGUUUUAGACAAUGGACUUUUUCGUGAAGGAAAAAUUGCAACAAUAGAAUUUCUGCCUGUUAACUGAAACAUUUCAAGGCCUUCGUGCAGAAAUUGUCUUUAAAACCCUUCCUGCCAUCUGCACCAUACCACACAAAUAGAAAAAUGGUGUGCACAUCAUACACGGAAAUGAAGCGGUCCUUCAUUGACAUUCAACCUGUUGGCACUAAUUAGUGCUGUACUUGAAUCACGAGACAAGCCAGAGUCCACAUGUCCUGGUGCUUGGUGACAAGGAAAACUCCUCCCUAGUUUUUAUUAUUUUAAACGGGGAGGUGAUGGAACAGGAGACGAUACUACAAGCAGUCGAUCUGUGUUUCAAACAUUUCUUUGUAUAUGACAUCUACUACCCAAAGCCCUCUGCUCAUAUUUGAGAGUUUUUGGAACACACAGUCUUUAAUAGUUUCUUCUGCACACUGUCUCCUCCUUAAAAACUUUGUAUUUAGUAAUCUGUAAAAAAAACUUUUUUUUUAUUUUAUUGAUCAUCAGUAGGUCCAGCAGUAUAUUUUUUAUUAUUAUUACUUGAUUUUAUUAUUAUUUUUUGUUUUAUUAUAUGUUAUGUUCACUUUAUUUGAAAGUCGUAAUAUUUGCCAAGUGUAGUAACCCAUAUUCGGAAUUGGUGCUCUGCAUUUAACCCAUCCAAGUGCACACACACAGCAGUGAGAAGUGAACACACACCCAGAGCAGUGGGCAGCUAUAGAUCCAGCGUCCGGAGAGCAACUGGGGAUUCAGGGCCUUGCUCAAGGGCACUUCAGUCAUGGGUAUUGAGGGUGGAAGAGAGCACUGUUCAUUCAUUCUCUCCACCUACAACUCCUGCCAGCACCGAGACUCAAACCUGCGACUUUUGGGUUACAGGUCCAACUCUAACCAUUAGGUCACAGCUGUGAACUGUAUUAGCACAUUUGUGUGUUUUGAUAUGAAUAUGAAUUGACACAUUUGUACAUCUUGAAAAUGUCAGUUGUAUUUUUACACUUUCUUGUACAUUUAAA
Molecule: long non-coding RNA, 1669 nt
Organism: Carassius carassius (crucian carp)
Lineage: Eukaryota; Metazoa; Chordata; Actinopteri; Cypriniformes; Cyprinidae
Exons: 3
Source: RefSeq, a predicted model, not a curated record